AACGAACGCUGGCGGCAUGCCUAACACAUGCAAGUCGAACGAGACCUUCGGGUCUAGUGGCGCACGGGUGCGUAACGCGUGGGAACCUGCCCUUAGGUUCGGAAUAACUCCCCGAAAGGGGUGCUAAUACCGGAUAAUGUCUUAGGACCAAAGAUUUAUCGCCUUUGGAUGGGCCCGCGUAGGAUUAGCUAGUUGGUAGGGUAAAAGCCUACCAAGGCGACGAUCCAUAGCUGGUCUGAGAGGAUGAUCAGCCACACUGGGACUGAGACACGGCCCAGACUCCUACGGGAGGCAGCAGUAGGGAAUAUUGGACAAUGGGCGAAAGCCUGAUCCAGCAAUGCCGCGUGAGUGAUGAAGGCCUUAGGGUUGUAAAGCUCUUUUACCCGGGAUGAUAAUGACAGUACCGGGAGAAUAAGCUCCGGCUAACUCCGUG
Molecule: ribosomal RNA, 433 nt
Filed under: uncultured bacterium
Lineage: Bacteria
Description: partial 16S ribosomal RNA
Rfam family: Bacterial small subunit ribosomal RNA
Source: RNAcentral